UGCAAUUUAGUAUACCGUUCUGCUUGUAGAUGUAAAAAAAUAUGGAUUAAUAGAAAAACUUUCUCUCUCUAAUUUCUCUCACAUCUCUCUAGAGCUCUCUUUAACAAAUCACCGUUUUGGUGGCCGGCGGCCUUAUCACCGUCGGUCACCUUCUCUUUUUUGUUUUUAGUUCCGAUUUCUGAUCUGAUUUAAGUCCGGCUUGCUCGGAUAUCUGUUGUUUAUAUUUCUCUUUCUCUUAUCUCCGUUUUAUAGGGUUUAAUCUCCGCCCAGUUCGGUUCUUUUGUUUUCUUUUCUUCACCUUUUGAGGGCUUGAUCCUCUUUCCAACUUACUUGGAAAGUUUAAAUGCAUGGUUUUUGAUUGGUUUCGUGUUUUCUUUUGGUCAUGUUUGCUCGUCUCUUCAUAUAAGUGUAAUUCUUUGCUUUUGUUGAAAGAGUCUUAUGAGCAGAGUUUCUAUAUGCAAGAUUCGACAAGGGUUUCAGAUGCUCGAGUGCUUUGCAUGAAGAAUCAGUGGUUUUCGUCGCGUUAGAUGAGUCCCUGAAGAGUGUGAUGCCUCGAUCUUCUGUGGGGUUAACUCGUACCGAGGGUUCAACAAGAUCCAAUCCUUAAGCCAGAGAUAUUCAAAAGGUGAAAAAGGCAGAUUUGUAUGUUCUUCUUAGGUCUCAUGGAGAAUAAAGCUUCCAGACCCUAAGUUUAGCGGACAUAGCCAAGGCGAUGAUGCGGCGGAGCGGCGGAGCGGCGAAGCUUUCAUGACGAUGGUCUCUUCUUUUUAGCAUGUGGCAAAAACAAUAGAGACGUGCCUUGCUCCUAAUCGCAGAAAGUGGAAGAUACAUGUUUAAUUAAUUUUCAUCCUUAUUCCCUGAAUCUGGGCUUUGUCUUCUUUUAAUUUCAUUGUUGGGCUUGUCCCAUACUAAAUAUGUCUUGUAAAAAACUGGCAUUUAUGGCUUUUAAUAUUAAAGAUUGUCGACAAAAAACAGAUGUAAAAAAUAUGGGUUUAACGUAAGCUUUCCAAUAAUAAAAAAUAAAUAUAUAUUCAAGUUUAAAACAGAAACAAGUACAAUAUUAAUCUCGAG
Molecule: long non-coding RNA, 1071 nt
Filed under: Brassica napus (rape)
Lineage: Eukaryota; Viridiplantae; Streptophyta; Magnoliopsida; Brassicales; Brassicaceae
Description: long non-coding RNA (BNAP_LNC009494)
Source: RNAcentral